Molecule: ribosomal RNA, 586 nt
Filed under: uncultured fungus
Lineage: Eukaryota; Fungi
Description: eukaryotic LSU rRNA
Rfam family: Eukaryotic large subunit ribosomal RNA
Source: RNAcentral
AUAUCAAUAAGGCGAGGAACAGAAACCAACCGGGAUUCCCCCAGUAGUGGCGAAUGAAGUGGGAAAAGCUCAAGUUUGAAAUCUGGCUUCAGUCAGAGUUGUAAGCUGAAGAGGCUUCGACCGAUGUGGCUUGGGCUCAAUUCCCUUGGGAUAGGGAGUCAUGGAGGGUGAGAACCCCGUCUGUGGCCCUUUGGCCUGCAUCCUUGUGUCGUUUCCUCGAAGAGUCGGGUUGUUUGGGAAUGCAGCUCAAAAUGGGUGGUAAAUUUCAUCUAAAGCUAAAUAUUGGCGAGAGACCGAUAGCAAACAAGUAGAGUAAUCGAAAGAUGAAAAGUACUUUGAAAAGAGAGUGAAACAGUGCGUGAAAUUGUUGAAAGGGAACCGUUUGGUAUCAGCCCAUGGCUGUCCUUGAUCAUCCAGGCUUCUGUCUGGUGCACUCGGGGGCGGCUGGGCCAGCGUCGACUCUGCCCGCCGGAGAAAGGCCUGAGGAAUGUGGCUCUUUGGAGUGUUAUAGCCUCAGGUGUCAUGCGGGGUGGUGGGGUCGAGGUCUGCGGUCUUCCUAGGACGCUGGCGUAAUGGUCCCAAGCGA